This 92-nucleotide transfer RNA is filed under the name Dipodomys ordii (Ord's kangaroo rat). It matches the Rfam family "tRNA". From Rfam's summary of the family: Transfer RNA (tRNA) molecules are approximately 80 nucleotides in length. Their secondary structure includes four short double-helical elements and three loops (D, anti-codon, and T loops). The record is from Rfam by way of RNAcentral. Lineage: Eukaryota; Metazoa; Chordata; Mammalia; Rodentia; Heteromyidae.
GCAGCUGUGGCUCAAAGUGGUAGAGCACUAACCUUCAACAAAAGAACUUAGGGACAGCGCCCAGGCUGUGAGUUCAAGUCCCACCAUUGGCA